UACGUAGGGGGCAAGCGUUGUCCGGAAUCAUUGGGCGUAAAGAGCGCGUAGGCGGCCCAGUAAGUCCGCUCUGAAAGUCAGAGGCUCAACCUCUGAAUGCGGGUGGAUACUGUCGGGCUUGAGUACGGAAGAGGCGAGUGGAAUUCCUGGUGUAGCGGUGAAAUGCGCAGAUAUCAGGAGGAACACCAAUUGCGAAGGCAGCUCGCUGGGACGUUACUGACGCUGAGACGCGAAAGCGUGGGGAGCAAACAGG
This 253-nucleotide ribosomal RNA is filed under the name uncultured bacterium. RNAcentral describes it as "partial 16S ribosomal RNA". It matches the Rfam family "Bacterial small subunit ribosomal RNA", at positions 524 to 776 of the family's 1533-position model. The record is from RNAcentral.